RNAcentral lists this ribosomal RNA (433 nucleotides) under uncultured bacterium. RNAcentral's name for it is "partial 16S ribosomal RNA". It matches the Rfam family "Bacterial small subunit ribosomal RNA", at positions 29 to 507 of the family's 1533-position model. The record is from RNAcentral.
AACGAACGCUGGCGGCAUGCCUAACACAUGCAAGUCGAACGAGACCUUCGGGUCUAGUGGCGCACGGGGGCGUAACGCGUGGGAACCUGCCCUUAGGUUCGGAAUAACUCCCCGAAAGGGGUGCUAAUACCGGAUAAUGUCUUCGGACCAAAGAUUUAUCGCCUUUGGUUGGGCCCGCGUUGGAUUAGCUAGUUGGUAGGGUAAAAGCCUACCAAGGCGACGAUCCAUAGCUGGUCUGAGAGGAUGAUCAGCCACACCGGGACUGAGACACGGCCCAGACUCCUACGGGAGGCAGCAGUGGGGAAUAUUGGACAAUGGGCGAAAGCCUGAUCCAGCAAUGCCGCGUGAGUGAUGAAGGCCUUAGGGUUGUAAAGCUCUUUUACCCGGGAUGAUAAUGACAGUACCGGGAGAAUAAGCUCCGGCUAACUCCGUG